CAGCAGCCGCGGUAAAACGGAGGAUCCAAGCGUUAUCCGGAAUCAUUGGGUUUAAAGGGUCCGUAGGCGGUCUUGUAAGUCAGUGGUGAAAGCCCAUCGCUCAACGGUGGAACGGCCAUUGAUACUGCAGGACUUGAAUUAUUGGGAAGUAACUAGAAUAUGUAGUGUAGCGGUGAAAUGCUUAGAGAUUACAUGGAAUACCAAUUGCGAAGGCAGGUUACUACCAAUUGAUUGACGCUGAUGGACGAAAGCGUGGGUAGCGAACAGGAUUAGAUACCCGAGUAGUCCCUGUCUCUUAUAA
RNAcentral lists this ribosomal RNA (301 nucleotides) under uncultured bacterium. RNAcentral describes it as "partial 16S ribosomal RNA". It matches the Rfam family "Bacterial small subunit ribosomal RNA", at positions 509 to 809 of the family's 1533-position model. The record is from RNAcentral.